Molecule: ribosomal RNA, 447 nt
Filed under: Streptococcus mutans
Lineage: Bacteria; Bacillati; Bacillota; Bacilli; Lactobacillales; Streptococcaceae
Description: bacterial SSU rRNA
Rfam family: Bacterial small subunit ribosomal RNA
Source: RNAcentral
GACGAACGCUGGCGGCGUGCCUAAUACAUGCAAGUGGGACGCAAGGGAACACACUGUGCUUGCACACCGUGUUUUCUUGAGUCGCGAACGGGUGAGUAACGCGUAGGUAACCUGCCUAUUAGCGGGGGAUAACUAUUGGAAACGAUAGCUAAUACCGCAUAAUAUUAAUUAUUGCAUGAUAAUUGAUUGAAAGAUGCAAGCGCAUCACUAGUAGAUGGACCUGCGUUGUAUUAGCUAGUUGGUAAGGUAAGAGCUUAUCAAGGCGACGAUACAUAGCCGACCUGAGAGGGUGAUCGGCCACACUGGGACUGAGACACGGCCCAGACUCCUACGGGAGGCAGCAGUAGGGAAUCUUCGGCAAUGGACGAAAGUCUGACCCGAGCAACGCCCGCGUGAGUGAAAGAAAGGUUUUCGGAUCGUAAAAGCUUCUGUUGUAAAGUCAAAGAA